UACGUAGGGUGCAGGCGUUAAUCGGAAUUACUGGGCGUAAAGCGUGCGCAGGCGGUUUGCUAAGACAGGUGUGAAAUCCCCGGGCUUAACCUGGGAACUGCGCUUGUAACUGGCAAGCUAGAGUGUGGCAGAGGGGGUGGAAUUCCAGGUGUAGCAGUGAAAUGCGUAGAGAUCUGGAGGAACACCGAUGGCGAAGGCAGCCCCUGGGCUAACACUGACGCUCAUGCACGAAAGCGUGGGAGCAACAGGAUUAGA
Molecule: ribosomal RNA, 255 nt
Filed under: uncultured bacterium
Lineage: Bacteria
Description: partial 16S ribosomal RNA
Rfam family: Bacterial small subunit ribosomal RNA
Source: RNAcentral